This is a long non-coding RNA of Manis pentadactyla (Chinese pangolin), 1266 nucleotides long. RefSeq lists it as uncharacterized. The record is from RefSeq and is a predicted model, not a curated record. The transcript has 5 exons. Lineage: Eukaryota; Metazoa; Chordata; Mammalia; Pholidota; Manidae.
GAUUUGCUUGAAAGCCGCCAGUUCUAUGAUCUAAAAGGUAAUGCAGCGUUCGUACCAAAUUAGUUCUGCCCACUGCGGUGCUCCUCUCAGCCCGGAAGCCAGCACCACGGGGACACUGGACAGGCGCUGCGUGCUGUCCUCCACGCACAAAGGUGGCAGCCCCAUUUGCAACUUUGCUAACUUAGCUGGCUCCCGCCCAGCCGGCCCCCGAAGCACAGUCACCGUGAAAACGUUUUGGUACCAGAAAACCAUUUCCACGACAGUGCGAGUGUUCGAAAGCACAAAGGCAGACACUGGCGACCGCGCUAGCUAGGAAGUUUCGGCACUCGGGGCGGCUGGGCGGAGCACGCGGCCAGUCAAACCUGGAAUGUUACUGAUUCUGAGAAGCCAAGGACACCAAGGAUCCUCUCUCUUCUGACGGGAGCUCACACAGUUUUCUGCCUCCCCUUCAGGGGCUUCUUGUCCCCUUGCACCACAUCCGUAGACUCCAGGUGCUGUCCAUGCUAUUGGCUCCUGAACCGACAGCAGAGUAGGAGGCCCUGGGGAGCAUCAACAUUCAAGAAGUGGUGCGGGGAAGAACCCAAAAGAAACCCAUGGAUUCUGAGAGCACGCAGCGAACUCCAGGAGUCAGCCCAGGUAGAACCCACCACAAGCUCUCAGCCGCAGGGGGACCAGGCAUAGUAGCAGCCCUCCACCUCCCAUCCUUACCGGCAAAGUGGAACAGGAGACCAUACCCUGUUACAUCAUUUUUCAAAAAGUGCCCUAACCUGUUCUGCUGGCUCCGUGAGUGGAUAUCUUCUCCAUAGUAAGGAUAUGGCCUGAUAGGAAUCGCCGAUGCUGACGAAAGCCGGGCUCACCAGUCGGAGGAGCAAACCUGCUCUGUGGGCACGUCCGGACCGGGAGUCUUCUCUGAUAAUUUCUUGGAUUUGCUGGAAAUGUGGCCAAAUCCCAUGGGUGAAAAUAUCCUCUCACUAAUUCCAAGAGCUCAUUAUCAGGCCCCUGGAAUUUCACUCUGGUUCCAUUUCUUUCCUGCAGAACUUUCUGCUUACUGGUGCCUUUUCUUUUUUUUUCCCAAUUUAAUUCAAGGCAACAAACACUUACUUAGAAUUUAUUAGGAGCCUUCUAAUUGUCCAUGAUCCUGCUCUCACGCCUGUGCAGCCCACUUUCCACAGGCAGCCAGAGUGACCUAUAAAAACAUAAGGACAUUAAGGCCACCUGCUUAAGAUGCCCUGAAAAUCUCCCAAACUUCUUCCUCUCACCUAAAAG